GCACUAUUGAAGUGUUCCACAAUAGGACGAAACAACUGUCCAGUGC
Molecule: non-coding RNA, 46 nt
Organism: Schistosoma mansoni
Lineage: Eukaryota; Metazoa; Platyhelminthes; Trematoda; Strigeidida; Schistosomatidae
Source: Rfam